AGACCGAUAGCGAACAAGUAGAGUGAUCGAAAGAUGAAAAGCACUUUGAAAAGAGAGUUAAAAAGUACGUGAAAUUGUUGAAAGGGAAGCGUUUAUGACCAGACUUGGGCUUGGAUAAUCAUCUGGGGUUCUCCCCAGUGCACUUUUCCAGUCCAGGCCAGCAUCAGUUUUCGCCGGGGGAUAAAGGCUUCGGGAAUGUGGCUCCCUCCGGGGAGUGUUAUAGCCCGUUGCGUAAUACCCUGGCGGGGACUGAGGUUCGCGCAUCUGCAAGGAUGCUGGCGUAAUGGUCAUCAACGACCCGUCUUGAAACACGGACCAAG
This 320-nucleotide ribosomal RNA is filed under the name Fusarium sp. Its description in RNAcentral is "partial large subunit ribosomal RNA". It matches the Rfam family "Eukaryotic large subunit ribosomal RNA", at positions 331 to 670 of the family's 3401-position model. The record is from RNAcentral. Lineage: Eukaryota; Fungi; Ascomycota; Sordariomycetes; Hypocreales; Nectriaceae.